This 2959-nucleotide long non-coding RNA is filed under the name Homo sapiens (human). Its description in RNAcentral is "SNAP25 antisense RNA 1 (SNAP25-AS1)". The record is from RNAcentral. Lineage: Eukaryota; Metazoa; Chordata; Mammalia; Primates; Hominidae.
GGCAUAAAUCAAGUCCGCGGGGCAUGGAGGCUGCUGUCGCUGCAGCAGCUCAGCUUGCCCGGGGCGGGAACUCCCCCUUUCUCCUUUCGCCUCCCCAGCACCCACACCCUGUCUCCCCCUUAAUUCUUCCCUGGAUAAUAGCACCCUAACGACAACAGUCAUAAUAAUAGGGUUAGAACGACAGGGGAGGAAAACUCAACAGCCUAAAUAUCUCUGAAAACUGCAUCGCAAAAUGGAAGAAAGAGGGGGUCCCACUACUGUUUCAAAAGAGAGCCAUGGAAGUCAAAUGCUGAGGAUGGUGGCAUCAUAGGAUGAAUGGAGCUGGGUUCUUGAAACACUGCCUGGAGGAAAGACAGCAAAAAUGCCUCAUGAAUCCAACUGGACUGUUAGGAUGCUCACCCUUGGAGACCAGCAACAAUGUGUGCAGAAACCCAGGCCAUGUGGAGAGGCCCCACAUACGUGUCCAACUGAGGUCCCAGCUGACAGCUGGCAUUGACAUAAUGUUCACUCUGGGGGAAGCCAGCUGCCACGCUGUAAGGACACUCGGGCAGUCCUAUGAAGAGGCCCGUGUGGUGAGAAAGAGAGGCCUCCAGCCAACAGCCAUAGAUGGGGUCUUGCUAUGUUUCCCAGUUGGAGUGCAGUGAUUAUUCACAGACAUGAUCCCACUACUGAUCAGCAUGGGAGUUUUCACCUGCUCCAUUUCCCACCUGGGAGGUCAUCAUAUUGAUGGCGAGCUAAGUGUGGACACCUGAUCAGCAUAGCACAGUACAGCCCAGAACCCCUGGGCUCCAGUGAUCCUCUUACUUCAGCCUCUUGAGUAGCUGGAACUACAGGCCUGCACCACUGCACCCGGCUAGUUUGUUUUUGUUAGAGUUUUGUCUCUAGGAUUUUCCUCAGCUGAGUAUGUGAAGGCUAACUUCUCCUUGUGAAUCUGCAAAUAUCCUUAUUUUACCCUUUAUUUUACCAUGUAUCAUUUACAGGUAAAUGAUAUCUUAGCUGUGUAUUGAAUUUCUGUUUUUUGUUUUUUCUUCAGUACUCUAUAAAUAUUACUCCAGUAUCUUCUAGCUUCUCCCAUUUUCUCCUAGUGAAUGGUUAUUCUGCUCUUAUCUAGCAGGUGAUAAAUCUGUCAACAGAUAGUUUUUCCUUUUUGUUUUAUGUGUAAGUUGUUAUUUCUUCCUUAAAGUUCAUAAUCUUUUCCCAUUUAUUCUCUAAAUUUUAGACUAUAACCAGGAUGUGUUUAGGUUGAUAUCUUUGCUUAUCUAUUCUGCCUGGAAAUCAGGAACCUCUUCCAAUAUUCAGACUUGUGUUUUCAGCUCAGAAUAAUUAUUUUAUCAUUUGUUUGAUUAUUCCUUUAGUUGCACUGGAUCUUAGUUAAAAUGCCCAUUCUGAUUCAAAGUAUCUGGAAGGCAAGUAUUUGUCAACUAAGGGAAAGGUGACCAUGCAUCAUUGGUUUUGCUGAGACUACCUGGUUUACACCUUCAGGCUUUAUACUUAGAAAAUAUUGCGAUCAUCUUCUGGUCAUGAAGUUACAAACUUCAGGACAAAGGCUAACCAGCUAAGACUAGCAGAGCAAAUUCCAAGAACUUGGGGCUUUAAUUAACUUGAAUUGAUUUGGACUUGCCCUACCUUUAACUUCACACUGAGAUAAAAAUUCCCCACAUUUUCAAGCCAUUUUUGAGAUGAGUCUCUUAUGGUUGAAAGCAUCCUAAUUUAUACAACAUCCUUUUGGUACCUAACUAAAUAUUCACCAAUAUUUGGCACAUUUGUUAAAUCUUUUGGUGUGUGCCUCUUCUAUGUAAUGUAAAUAUGGUCUGAAUAUCCAUUCAGAAAUUAUAGUUGAUUUGCAAAAAUAACUACUAUAUCACCUAUAUUAAUUGAUAGUUAUUCCUUCCCAACCUUCUUUCACUCUUCCAUAUAUAUACAGAGUAAAUCUACAUCAUUAUGUUGAUUAAACAAAAUAGCAGUGAAAUCAGGAUGUUACUGCUCAUUGUGCAUUUAUUUCAAUUAUGGAAAAAGCCAACACUUUACUCCCUUAUUUAACACUUCUGUAGAAAAGCAGUUGAAAUAACCUAGUGUCAUUCUAAAAUGAUUUGUAUACUAUGUAGACCAGAAUCUAGGGCUAUACCUAAAAAUACAUAAAUGAAAUUAUUCUAGAAGUUAAAUCUUCAUGAAAAAACAAAUUAAAUGGUUUACUAACCUCAAGCUGAUUAAAUGUUUUUAUUAAAUGCAGCCUCAGCCAGCACCUCUUUUCAUGGCUGCAAUAAUUAAGUAUAAUAAAUAUUCAAAUCAGUAAUUGAAUUUGUUAAAAAAAACAUGCUCAGCUCAGUGAAGACUUUCUAAUAAAUAGAAUUCAGGUACCAUAUUUUCAUACUUCAUGACACUUGCCUCAUCUUAGUUUGAUGACUGCCGUUUCUUGCACUGUAACAAGAUUUUAUUUUUAUUUUGUUUUACGCUAUUCAAACAAAUACAUUCAAAGUCAUAGGCUACACCUAUGUAUAACCAUAUUCUGAGAGUUGGCUUAUGUGUUUGUUUAUUUUCUCACAAUUAAAGAUAGGUCAGAUGUUGCCAAAUUAGUAAAUAACUAAACUUGAGAUGGGAAAUACUCUAGAGACACAAUCUGCUUAGUUUUGCAUAGUUUUGCAUAGUUUUAGUCACUUUUCCCGUUACUCUGUCCAGCUUUCCAGUAAUACUCAUAACAUUGCCUUGAUUUCAUAUGACCACGCAGUAAAGUGAUUACUGCACUUAGAAUUUUGUUGCUUUUGCUGUGCUAACAACUUAAAAGUUUAAAAUAACUGAUGUUCAAAACAGUGAAGAUUUCCUUUUAUAAACAAGUUGGAAAGGAAAGUUUUUAUGUUAUUAUCCUCAAGUAUUCUAACUAAUAUAAAAUGUCUUUCAGUCUUUUAGGCAAACCAUUUAGACAAAAAGUACAAAUAAUAAAUUUACAUUGUGUUAAGCUGCG